GAUGAACGCUAGCGGCAGGCCUAAUACAUGCAAGUCGGACGGGAUUCAGGAGCUUGCUUCUGAUGAGAGUGGCGCACGGGUGCGUAACACGUAUGUAACCUACCUUUAUCAGGGGGAUAGCCUCUCGAAAGAGAGAUUAAGCCCGCAUAAAAUCACAGCACAGCAUUGUGUAAUGAUCAAAUAUUUAUAGGAUAAAGAUGGGCAUGCGGAACAUUAGCUAGAUGGCGGGGUAACGGCCCACCAUGGCGACGAUGUUUAGGGGAUCUGAGAGGAUGGCCCCCCACACUGGUACUGAGACACGGACCAGACUCCUACGGGAGGCAGCAGUAAGGAAUAUUGGUCAAUGGGCGGAAGCCUGAACCAGCCAUGCCGCGUGCAGGAAGACGGCCCUACGGGUUGUGAACUGCUUUUAUACGGGAAUAAACCCAGAUACGUGUAUCUGGCUGAAUGUACUGUAAGAAUAAGGAUCGGCUAACUCCGUG
This 482-nucleotide ribosomal RNA is filed under the name uncultured bacterium. RNAcentral's name for it is "partial 16S ribosomal RNA". It matches the Rfam family "Bacterial small subunit ribosomal RNA", at positions 28 to 507 of the family's 1533-position model. The record is from RNAcentral.